UUUACUUCAGCUUGGACCAAGCAUGUCUGUGCCCUUAUGCAAACAUCAACCACAGUUUGUAUUUGUAUUAUCACCACCAAAAGUAGUUCGGAAGCAAAGGGAAAAUAUCUUCUGCCUUGUGAUUACUUGCAUCCAUGGCUCUGCUGAAAAUAGGUGGGAGGUAAGAAAAACAACAGUGACAAAUUAUAAAGAGGGAACACACUGAUCAGGAAAAGCUGCAGAGGAAAGUAAGUGUGACACAACUUCCUUGCUUUUUGCAGCUAGCGGACAGCUUGGAAUUUAAAUUCUCAAUACUGGAAACAGAACAAGUCUCCAAAAUUAACAAUUUUUCUAUGUUUUUUGCCUAUUGGAGCCACUGGAAAAAAGGAGACAAUAUGAAGAGGGGCAAU
Molecule: long non-coding RNA, 389 nt
Organism: Symphalangus syndactylus (siamang)
Lineage: Eukaryota; Metazoa; Chordata; Mammalia; Primates; Hylobatidae
Source: RefSeq, a predicted model, not a curated record